RNAcentral lists this long non-coding RNA (866 nucleotides) under Citrus x clementina. RNAcentral describes it as "Citrus clementina (C. clementina) long non-coding RNA (CCLE_LNC004017)". The record is from RNAcentral. Lineage: Eukaryota; Viridiplantae; Streptophyta; Magnoliopsida; Sapindales; Rutaceae.
GAAGAAGAAGCAGAAGAAGGAGCAAAAGAAGCAGAAGAAGAAGAAGAAGGAGGAAAGAGGAGGAGGAAAAUGAGGAGGAGGAGAAGGAGGAGAAGGAGAAGAAGAAGAAUGAGAAGAAGAAGAAGAAGAAGAAGAAGAAGAAGGCUUCAACACAACAUACUUUAUAUUCCAAAUAUUUAAAUUUUGUGAUCUAAUGAUGUGUGGUGCUUCUAGCUUUCUCCCUCUCCAAACAAAGCACCGACCUCUCUGCUUCAUAUGGUUGAAAGGCUGUUUUCCUUUCGACGGCACUUUACUCAGUUUUUUGUUCUCUUUUUAUUAUAUUUUGUCUUUGUGUGUCCUUUCACUUCAUGUGUGAAGGUAUGUAGCUCUUUCUAUCAUGACUAUAUAUCCAUUUUCUCCAUAUAGACACUGGCUUGUGGUGAUUUUGGUUUCUUUUACAAUAGUUUCAAUUUGUGUAAUAUUUCUAGUAUAUUUGAGGCUUUUGACCUCCAUAUCUUAAAAAAAUACAAGGUAUAAAUCAAUUUAUGCAAGAUAGCUAUUACCAGAUAGUGGAGCUAAUAAAAGUAGAAAUUCUUAAAAGAGUUAAAGAAUAAUGGUUAUGCUCUAAGAUACUAUGUGCAUCUAUGGUGGAGAUUUUCUUUUUCUUGAUCUCCCAGUGCAUUGUUGUUUCUCCCCAUUCAUCAAUAAGUGUUCACUAACUCCGCCUUAUUUAUUGUAAUCAAAAGUAUGUAUGCUGAUUUAAGGCCAAUUUACAGUUGCGAUGGCUGUUAAAAUAAGUUAUUUUUACUGUGCAAAUAAAAUAAGCUACUGAUUAAAAAAUCAGCUUGGUAUUUGAUAAAUUGUGUUAGUGUAGUUGUUGUGAGUUU